CAGGCCUAACACAUGCAAGUCGGACGGUAGCACAGAGGAGCUUGCUCCUCGGGUGACGAGUGGCGGACGGGUGAGUAAUGUCUGGGGAUCUGCCCGAUAGAGGGGGAUAACCACUGGAAACGGUGGCUAAUACCGCAUAACGUCGCAAGACCAAAGAGGGGGACCUUCGGGCCUCUCACUAUCGGAUGAACCCAGAUGGGAUUAGCUAGUAGGCGGGGUAACGGCCCACCUAGGCGACGAUCCCUAGCUGGUCUGAGAGGAUGACCAGCCACACUGGAACUGAGACACGGUCCAGACUCCUACGGGAGGCAGCAGUGGGGAAUAUUGCACAAUGGGCGCAAGCCUGAUGCAGCCAUGCCGCGUGUAUGAAGAAGGCCUUCGGGUUGUAAAGUACUUUCAGCGGGGAGGAAGGCAGUGAGGUUAAUAACCUUACUGAUUGACGUUACCCGCAGAAGAAGCACCGGCUAACUCCGUGCCAGCAGCCGCGGUAAU
Molecule: ribosomal RNA, 492 nt
Filed under: uncultured bacterium
Lineage: Bacteria
Description: bacterial SSU rRNA
Rfam family: Bacterial small subunit ribosomal RNA
Source: RNAcentral